GGCCGGAGCUGCUCUGCGGGGCCGUGGCGCUCGGCUGCGCGCUGCUCCUCGCCCUCAAGUUCACCUGCAGUCGAGCAAAAGAUGUGAUAAUACCAGCAAAGCCACCUGUCAGCUUUUUCUCCUUGAGGUCUCCAGUCCUUGACCUCUUCCAGGGGCAGCUGGAUUAUGCAGAGUACGUUCGACGGGAUUCAGAGGUGGUACUGCUCUUCUUCUAUGCCCCUUGGUGUGGACAGUCCAUCGCUGCCAGGGCAGAAAUUGAGCAAGCAGCAAGUCGGCUUUCAGAUCAGGUGUUGUUUGUGGCAAUUAACUGUUGGUGGAACCAGGGGAAAUGCAGAAAACAGAAACACUUCUUUUAUUUUCCUGUAAUAUAUCUGUAUCAUCGGAGUUUUGGACCAAUCGAAUACAAAGGCCCCAUGAGUGCUGUUUACAUUGAGAAGUUUGUCCGCCGGGUGAUGAAACCACUUCUCUACAUCCCAUCUCAAUCAGAAUUACUAGAUUUUCUCUCAAACUACGAGCCUGGAGUACUCGGGUACUUUGAGUUCAGUGGCUCACCCCAGCCUCCUGGUUAUUUGACCUUCUUCACCUCAGCAUUACAUUCAUUAAAGAAAGAUGGAGUCUCGCCCUGCCGCCCAGGCUGGAGUGCAGUGGCGUGAUCUUGGCUCACUGGAAUCUGCCUCCCGGGUUCAAGCGAUUCUCCUGCCUCAGCCUCCUGAGUAGCUGGAGUUACAUAGAUUACCUAGGAACAGUACGAUUUGGGGUUAUCACAAAUAAACAUCUUGCGAAACUGGUAUCCUUAGUACACUCUGGAAGUGUGUAUUUACAUAGACAUUUCAACACAUCACUUGUCUUCCCCAGGGAGGUCCUGAACUACACAGCUGAGAACAUCUGUAAGUGGGCCUUAGAAAACCAGGAGACGCUCUUUCGGUGGCUGCGGCCACACGGAGGCAAGAGUCUCCUGCUGAAUAACGAGCUGAAGAAAGGACCAGCGCUGUUUCUGUUCAUACCUUUUAAUCCCCUGGCCGAAAGUCAUCCUUUA
This 1036-nucleotide long non-coding RNA is filed under the name Homo sapiens (human). RNAcentral's name for it is "HSALNT0227755". Lineage: Eukaryota; Metazoa; Chordata; Mammalia; Primates; Hominidae. The record is from RNAcentral.